UACGGAGGGUGCAAGCGUUAUCCGGAUUCACUGGGUUUAAAGGGUGCGUAGGCGGGCACUUAAGUCAGUGGUGAAAUCCCAGAGCUUAACUCUGGAACUGCCAUUGAUACUAUUUGUCUUGAAUAUUGUGGAGGUAAGCGGAAUAUGUCAUGUAGCGGUGAAAUGCUUAGAUAUGACAUAGAACACCUAUUGCGAAGGCAGCUUACUACGCAUAUAUUGACGCUGAGGCACGAAAGCGUGGGGAUCAAACAGG
This 253-nucleotide ribosomal RNA is filed under the name uncultured bacterium. RNAcentral describes it as "partial 16S ribosomal RNA". It matches the Rfam family "Bacterial small subunit ribosomal RNA", at positions 524 to 776 of the family's 1533-position model. The record is from RNAcentral.